This 253-nucleotide ribosomal RNA is filed under the name uncultured bacterium. RNAcentral's name for it is "partial 16S ribosomal RNA". It matches the Rfam family "Bacterial small subunit ribosomal RNA", at positions 524 to 776 of the family's 1533-position model. The record is from RNAcentral.
UACGUAGGGUGCGAGCGUUGUCCGGAAUUAUUGGGCGUAAAGGGCUCGUAGGCGGUUUGUCGCGUCGGGAGUGAAAACCCAGGGCUUAACCCUGGGCUGGCUUCCGAUACGGGCAGACUAGAGGUAUGCAGGGGAGAACGGAAUUCCUGGUGUAGCGGUGAAAUGCGCAGAUAUCAGGAGGAACACCGGUGGCGAAGGCGGUGGUCUGGGCCGGCACUGACGCUGAGGAGCGAAAGCGUGGGGAGCGAACAGG